This 295-nucleotide RNase P RNA is filed under the name Pseudomonas putida GB-1. RNAcentral's name for it is "RNA component of RNaseP". It matches the Rfam family "Bacterial RNase P class A", at positions 43 to 351 of the family's 367-position model. Rfam says of the family: Ribonuclease P (RNase P) is a ubiquitous endoribonuclease, found in archaea, bacteria and eukarya as well as chloroplasts and mitochondria. Its best characterised activity is the generation of mature 5'-ends of tRNAs by cleaving the 5'-leader elements of precursor-tRNAs. Lineage: Bacteria; Pseudomonadati; Pseudomonadota; Gammaproteobacteria; Pseudomonadales; Pseudomonadaceae. The record is from RNAcentral.
GAGGAAAGUCCGGGCUCCAUAGGGCAGAGUGCCAGGUAACGCCUGGGAGGCGCGAGCCUACGGAAAGUGCCACAGAAAAUAACCGCCUAAGCACUUCGGUGCCGGUAAGGGUGAAAAGGUGCGGUAAGAGCGCACCGCACGUCUGGCAACAGUGCGUGGCUAGGUAAACCCCACUCGGAGCAAGACCAAAUAGGGUUCCAUCAGGCGUGGCCCGCGUCGGAACCGGGUAGGUUGCUAGAGGCGUCCAGUGAUGGCCGUCGUAGAGGAAUGACUGUCCUCGACAAAACCCGGCUUA